This 1374-nucleotide ribosomal RNA is filed under the name Lactiplantibacillus plantarum. Its description in RNAcentral is "bacterial SSU rRNA". It matches the Rfam family "Bacterial small subunit ribosomal RNA", at positions 62 to 1424 of the family's 1533-position model. The record is from RNAcentral. Lineage: Bacteria; Bacillati; Bacillota; Bacilli; Lactobacillales; Lactobacillaceae.
UGGUGCUUGCAUCAUGAUUUACAUUUGAGUGAGUGGCGAACUGGUGAGUAACACGUGGGAAACCUGCCCAGAAGCGGGGGAUAACACCUGGAAACAGAUGCUAAUACCGCAUAACAACUUGGACCGCAUGGUCCGAGCUUGAAAGAUGGCUUCGGCUAUCACUUUUGGAUGGUCCCGCGGCGUAUUAGCUAGAUGGUGGGGUAACGGCUCACCAUGGCAAUGAUACGUAGCCGACCUGAGAGGGUAAUCGGCCACAUUGGGACUGAGACACGGCCCAAACUCCUACGGGAGGCAGCAGUAGGGAAUCUUCCACAAUGGACGAAAGUCUGAUGGAGCAACGCCGCGUGAGUGAAGAAGGGUUUCGGCUCGUAAAACUCUGUUGUUAAAGAAGAACAUAUCUGAGAGUAACUGUUCAGGUAUUGACGGUAUUUAACCAGAAAGCCACGGCUAACUACGUGCCAGCAGCCGCGGUAAUACGUAGGUGGCAAGCGUUGUCCGGAUUUAUUGGGCGUAAAGCGAGCGCAGGCGGUUUUUUAAGUCUGAUGUGAAAGCCUUCGGCUCAACCGAAGAAGUGCAUCGGAAACUGGGAAACUUGAGUGCAGAAGAGGACAGUGGAACUCCAUGUGUAGCGGUGAAAUGCGUAGAUAUAUGGAAGAACACCAGUGGCGAAGGCGGCUGUCUGGUCUGUAACUGACGCUGAGGCUCGAAAGUAUGGGUAGCAAACAGGAUUAGAUACCCUGGUAGUCCAUACCGUAAACGAUGAAUGCUAAGUGUUGGAGGGUUUCCGCCCUUCAGUGCUGCAGCUAACGCAUUAAGCAUUCCGCCUGGGGAGUACGGCCGCAAGGCUGAAACUCAAAGGAAUUGACGGGGGCCCGCACAAGCGGUGGAGCAUGUGGUUUAAUUCGAAGCUACGCGAAGAACCUUACCAGGUCUUGACAUACUAUGCAAAUCUAAGAGAUUAGACGUUCCCUUCGGGGACAUGGAUACAGGUGGUGCAUGGUUGUCGUCAGCUCGUGUCGUGAGAUGUUGGGUUAAGUCCCGCAACGAGCGCAACCCUUAUUAUCAGUUGCCAGCAUUAAGUUGGGCACUCUGGUGAGACUGCCGGUGACAAACCGGAGGAAGGUGGGGAUGACGUCAAAUCAUCAUGCCCCUUAUGACCUGGGCUACACACGUGCUACAAUGGAUGGUACAACGAGUUGCGAACUCGCGAGAGUAAGCUAAUCUCUUAAAGCCAUUCUCAGUUCGGAUUGUAGGCUGCAACUCGCCUACAUGAAGUCGGAAUCGCUAGUAAUCGCGGAUCAGCAUGCCGCGGUGAAUACGUUCCCGGGCCUUGUACACACCGCCCGUCACACCAUGAGAGUUUGUAACACCCAA